UACAGAGGGUGCAAGCGUUAAUCGGAAUUACUGGGCGUAAAGCGUGCGUAGACGGUUGCGUAAGUCAGAUGUGAAAGCCCCGGGCUCAACCUGGGAAUUGCAUUUGAGACUGCGUAGCUAGGGUGCGGAAGAGGGAAGCGGAAUUUCCGGUGUAGCGGUGAAAUGCGUAGAUAUCGGAAGGAACACCAGUGGCGAAAGCGGCUUCCUGGUCCAGCACCGACGUUCGGGCACGAAAGCGUGGGGAGCAAACAGG
Molecule: ribosomal RNA, 253 nt
Filed under: uncultured bacterium
Lineage: Bacteria
Description: partial 16S ribosomal RNA
Rfam family: Bacterial small subunit ribosomal RNA
Source: RNAcentral